AUGUCCUCAUUGUCAAGUGGGUUUCAGUCCUUCCUAGAGGAGACAAAUUCAGAGCCAUCUAAAUCUGAAUUGACCAGUUACCUUGAAGACAAAACCCAUCCAAUUCUGGAUCCAAAGUUCAGUGUAGUUGAUUGGUGGAGGUUGAAUGCUCAUAGAUAUCCUAUCAUGGCAAAGAUGGCAAAGAAGUUCUUGACUAUACCAGCAACUAGUGUCUCAUCGGAGUCAACAUUCUCUACGAGCGGCAGAAUUCUUGAUGACUAUCGUAGCUCUCUCAGCCCAAACAUGGUUGAGGCACUUGUGUGUGCUUCUAACUACAUUAAAGAAUCAAAAGAAAACCAACUUAAGCCUACAAUUGUAGUGGAAGAUGGCAAUGAUGAUGAUGUCGAGUUCAUUCCAUUUCCUGAAGAUACGACGGAAAGCAACUAG
Molecule: ribosomal RNA, 426 nt
Filed under: Triticum aestivum (bread wheat)
Lineage: Eukaryota; Viridiplantae; Streptophyta; Magnoliopsida; Poales; Poaceae
Description: partial small subunit ribosomal RNA
Source: RNAcentral